This 485-nucleotide ribosomal RNA is filed under the name uncultured bacterium. RNAcentral describes it as "partial 16S ribosomal RNA". It matches the Rfam family "Bacterial small subunit ribosomal RNA", at positions 28 to 507 of the family's 1533-position model. The record is from RNAcentral.
GAUGAACGCUAGCGAUAGGCUUAACACAUGCAAGUCGAGGGGCAGCGAGGGGAGCAAUACCUGUCGGCGACCGGCGCACGGGUGAGUAACGCGUAUGUAACCUGCCCGCAACAGGGGGAUAACCCGGCGAAAGUCGGACUAAUACCGCAUAAAACAGGGGUCCCGCAUGGGAAUAUUUGUUAAAGAUUUAUCGGUUGCGGGUGGGCAUGCGUACCAUUAGGUAGUUGGUGAGGUAACGGCUCACCAGGCCUUCGAUGUUUAGGGGUUCUGAGAGUAAGGUCCCCCACACUGGGACUGGGCCACGGACCAGACUCCUACGGGAGGGAGCAGUGAGGAAUACUGGUCAAUGGGCGAGAGCCUGAACCAGCCAAGUCGCGUGAAGGAUGACUGCCCUAUGGGUUGUAACCUUCUUUUAGAAGGGAAUAAAAUGAGAUAAGUGUAUUUUAUUGCAUGUACCUUGGGAAUAAGCAUCGGCUAACUACGUG